GUAUUUCUCUGAUGUAUGUACUCACUCUGCAUUCUAAUGCUUUCACUUUACCAGAAACGACCGAUCUGGACCCAGGUCCUGCAGUCCAAGGAGAUGCCAAACUGAUUGCAGGAACUAUGGCUGCACAAUUACAUUCAGUGCAGCUGUGGAGGAUGGAGACAACGACAUCAUAGAACCACCUGGAGAGAAGUUGUCACCUGUGUCUAUGGAGGCUCAAUGCUCAUCCUUCAGCUCUUGCUCCCUCCAGCCUCCGGUCCAGACAGAGGGGAGCCUCCCAGUCCUAACCACACAGAGGAAGUGUUUUCAUCACUGCUCUCUCUGUGCUACUGGGUUUGGGAGACUCUUCACAUAAUCAGUGGUGUUGGCCUCCAUCUGUAAACAGAAGACAGUCAAGACAAGUCAUUUUCUAAAUAUUUUGAAACUAAUUGUAAUAAAUACGUUGCAUCUUUAACAUCA
Betta splendens (Siamese fighting fish) is the source of this 456-nucleotide long non-coding RNA. RefSeq lists it as uncharacterized. The record is from RefSeq and is a predicted model, not a curated record. The transcript is spliced from 3 exons. NCBI's taxonomy places the organism in Eukaryota, Metazoa, Chordata, Actinopteri, Anabantiformes, Osphronemidae.